Xenia sp. Carnegie-2017 is the source of this 503-nucleotide long non-coding RNA. RefSeq lists it as uncharacterized. The transcript is spliced from 2 exons. The record is from RefSeq and is a predicted model, not a curated record. Lineage: Eukaryota; Metazoa; Cnidaria; Anthozoa; Malacalcyonacea; Xeniidae.
UGUUGUAGUGUUAUAUCCGUAAACGAAUGUUAAUAACUGGUUUACUAUACUGUCAUAGAGUUGAGCCGCCAGACUUAAAAUUGUCAAAAAAUACCUGCAUUAUCUUGGUAUUAUCGAGACUUGCUCUAUCAGUUUUUAGAUUUGUCGCUUUCUGCUUGUAAGGGCAACAGCUGUAAUUCAAAUUUCGUCAACAUUUGAACGACAAGAAUAUCAAUACUGAAUAGAUGAACGUGUUUCAACUCAUAGAGAAGCAGUGGACCAAACUGACUAUCGACCAUGUGAACGUGCUCAUUUCUUUCUGCUCGUUCCUCAAGGCUUUCAAAAAAAGCUAUCAGUUAUCAAUACAAAUUUUAAAGCAGAGAUUCUUGUCGUUAUGUUCACAAUCAUUUGAAUGACAUACAUGUGACAAGAAAGUACUCCUGUCCUGUUCUGAGAAUUUAGCAAAUGACAUACAUGUGACAAGAAAGUACGCCUGUCCUGUUCUGAGAAUUUAGCAAAUGACA